AGAGUUUGAUCCUGGCUCAGGAUGAACGCUGGCGGCGUGCUUAACACAUGCAAGUCGAACGGAAAGGCCUCAGCUUGCUGGGGUGCUCGAGUGGCGAACGGGUGAGUAACACGUAGGUGAUCUGCCUUUCACUUCGGGAUAAGCUUGGGAAACUGGGUCUAAUACCGGAUAUUCACUAUGCCGUGGUUGGUGUGGUGGAAAGCUUUUGCGGUGGGAGAUGAGCUUGCGGCCUAUCAGCUUGUUGGUGGGGUAAUGGCCUACCAAGGCGGCGACGGGUAGCCGGCCUGAGAGGGUGUGCGGCCACAUUGGGACUGAGAUACGGCCCAGACUCCUACGGGAGGCAGCAGUGGGGAAUUUUGCACAAUGGGCGGAAGCCUGAUGCAGCGACGCCGUGUGGGGGAUGAAGGCCUUCGGGUUGUAAACUCCUUUCGUCAGGGACGAAGUUUGUUUGACGGUACCUGGAUAAGAAGCACCGGCUAACUACGUG
This 487-nucleotide ribosomal RNA is filed under the name uncultured Corynebacterium sp. RNAcentral's name for it is "bacterial SSU rRNA". It matches the Rfam family "Bacterial small subunit ribosomal RNA", at positions 8 to 507 of the family's 1533-position model. The record is from RNAcentral. Lineage: Bacteria; Bacillati; Actinomycetota; Actinomycetes; Mycobacteriales; Corynebacteriaceae.